RNAcentral lists this ribosomal RNA (1004 nucleotides) under Hyaloperonospora parasitica. RNAcentral describes it as "LSU rRNA". It matches the Rfam family "Eukaryotic large subunit ribosomal RNA", at positions 68 to 864 of the family's 3401-position model. The record is from RNAcentral. Lineage: Eukaryota; Oomycota; Peronosporomycetes; Peronosporales; Peronosporaceae.
UACAGGAUUCCCCUAGUAACGGCGAGUGAAGCGGGAUGAGCUCAAGCUUAAAAUCUCUGUCACAAAUUUAUUUUGUGCGGCGAAUUGUAGUCUAUAGAGGCGUGAUCAGUGUAGGCGCUUGAGGUAAGUUCCUUGAAAAAGGACAGCAUGGAGGGUGAAACUCCCGUUCAUACUUAAGUGGCUUGCACGUACGAUUCGUUUUCUUUGAGUCGCGUUGUUUGAGAAUGCAGCGCAAAGUAGGUGGUAAAUUCCAUCUAAAGCUAAAUAUUGGUGCGAGACCGAUAGCGAACAAGUACCGUGAGGGAAAGAUGAAAAGAACUCUGAAAAGAGAGUUAAAGAGUACCUGAAACUGCUGAAAGGGAACCAAAUCGUUUCUAGUGUCUAUAAUCUAUGACAUAUUUCAUUGGGAAGUGUGUGCGUGUGUAUACUAUGGCAGCGGCUUUUUUUAGUUGCGCUUGGUGUGCGUGCUGUAUGUACUAACUGAUGCCCUGUGUUAUAGUGGGACGUCAAGGUCAGUUUGUAUACUGCGGGAAAUGGCUACUGAGGAGGUAGGGCUUACGCUUGCGUUUGUCUAUUAUAUCUUGGUAGUUGUGUCGUGGUUGAGACUGAGGUGUUCUACAACGUGCUUAUGAGUGGGUCUACGUCUCCGUGUGCGCCGUGUGCAGAUAGCUUGCUAUGUGUAUGUGGUGGUGUGUGGAUUGAUAUGGGCUUUAUCUUACUGCCGUUCGGGACUUUGACGAAAUAGAGCGAUUUGACCCGUCUUGAAACACGGACCAAGGAGUCUAACAUAUGUGCAAGUGUUAGGGUGUGGAAACCCCAGCGCGAAAUGAAAGUAAAGGAUAGUGUAAACUAUCUUAGGUAGGAAACGUUAUGAACUUCGGUUUGUGGCGUGGCACUAUCGACCGAUCAUGAACCCUCGUGGUGAAAGAUUUGAGUUUGAGCACAUAUGUUGGUACCCGAAAGAUGGUGAACUAUGCCUGAGUAGGGUGAAGCCAGGGAAACUC